Molecule: unclassified non-coding RNA, 2003 nt
Filed under: Portunus trituberculatus (swimming crab)
Lineage: Eukaryota; Metazoa; Arthropoda; Malacostraca; Decapoda; Portunidae
Description: gastrula zinc finger protein XlCGF67.1-like, transcript variant X1
Source: RNAcentral
GCAAAGACAUCCAACUCUGACUACGACCCCUCACAGCGCAGGCCGCAAGACAGUGGUGACUGGUGACGACUCCUGUCAAAAUAACUUUCCACUCUUCACUAACAGUAAUUCAAACCAGCCAUAAUGUGGUGACAGCAAGCAAACAGCCGUGAUGCAGCACUAGCCUGGGCCAGAAUAUUGCGGGAGGGUCAGGAUGAGGGCAGGGAGUGGCGAGAGAGGAGGAUGGACUUCAGUAAGCAGGUCCGUGUGUGUCAGUGCUUCAGAGGAGAGAGUGAGGCAUCAGGUGGAGAAGAAGAGUCUGAAGGUCGGUACUUUUCAACUGAAUGUUUCCCUCUGCAACUUGUGAGUACUUUGAGACCUUGUUACCUGCUGGAGAGAUAUGGAUGGGCAAUGGCUCACUCAUCCUUACCUGUAUUGUUCUGAUUGAACUCUCAUCUAGCAGUUGAGUGGCACACAAGAGCAGCUGGUCAUGGUGUUAUGCUUCAUUGUAUCAGAUUUACAAGAUGACCAUUUACUUCUUUGUCCUCUCACCUUGUUUCAGGUGUGGCAGUGAGUUCAGAUGGAAGGGUCACCUCACACAACACAUGAAGAGAGUCCACAACCUAGAGAAAAGUUUCUUCUGUGACAAGUGUGGUGGAGGUUUCUUCAGAAAGAAGUGCCUAAUUAAACACAAAUUUGUAUGCUGUUUUAGAAAGAGAGAACAGAAUUGCAGUGGUGAUGAUAUAAAGUUUACAUCAAAGAACCAACUAGAAGCAACAAAGAAUCCCACGAAGGCGGAGCUGUAUGUGUGUGAGCAGUGCGACAAAGUCUUCACCCACAAGAGUCACCUCACUCUGCAUGUCAACAAGCGGCAUCAGGGAAUGAGCAAGCACACCUGUCCUGAGUGUGGCAGGUCCUUCAGCCAGCGGGACCAUCUCAACGUGCACAUGAAUUCCUGCACCAAAUAGUGGAGGCUGGCAGCUGUUGGUGUGUUGUGGGACAUGCGGCAGCAGACUAGGGCUGUUUCACCACUGCCAGGUGAGAUGGUGGUGUGGGCCGUGCCAGCUUAGCACAUCCACCACCUUGGUGAUGGAUGGAAGAGAGGUCAAGCAGACAGACAUACUCUGUAUUGCUAAAGGAACAUGUGUAGAUAUGCCAUGUCCAUUCAUUCCCAGCUUGCUACAGGAGCCUUGAGUUGCUGUUGCACCCUUGUUCCUGAUUGGAUAGUGCCUCUUCUAACCUCAUCACUGAUUGGCCCUUAGCUCAGUGACUCUGUCUCCCACUUAGCACCGAUGCUGGACUUUCCACACUACAGGUUAUGCUUUUAUUGAUAUUGAACAGAAUGAUGAUACAGUAAUCUUCAGUAUGAAAAGAUUUGAGGUAAGGGUGUAAUUGAAAAUUAUUAAAUCCAAUUAUAUUCUGCGCUGCUUAUUUACAUAAUAAUGUAAGUCAAAUCUGUGAUAUGUGAUGGUGGAAAUUCUCAAGAACAUGAUGAUGUAAGGUUUCCGUUAAAGUGGAAAGGAAGGCUGGUAAACAUUUUUUUAAUCUCAAGCUGCUGGUGUAACAAUGCCAGUUGUGUGUGUAUGUCCUGACAUUGCCAAGAUGCUGUCUGUCAUCUUGUGUCUGCAGCUUGGAAUAAAAUGUUGCUUGCUGCCUUUUUCUGCCUUUCUUGAAUCUACUAACACCAUUAUGUUUGAAAAAGAAACCUGGGGCCGUAUUCUACAAACUGUUAUAGCGAGAUAAAAUGGUGUAUUUUAAAUGCAAGUCCAUGUAUGAUGUAGUCAUAAGUGGUAAGACAGGGUUAAACCUGUUAUAGCACAGCCAAUGACCAUCUUAACUCUUGUCAGCAUUGUGGAAAUGUGGCUGUGUAUACCAUAACACAAUCCCCAACAGUUUUUAUUAUUAAUUUAAUGAUAAAUAUCAAUAAUGAUGAAUAAUUAUGUCUGUCUUUGAUGCAGUAAUGUAUUAUUAUAAAUAACUGCCAGGAGGGGUAUGAUCAAACAAAUCUUGCCCCACAUGGCCCA